GGGGGAUAUUGCACAAUGGGGGAAACCCUGAUGCAGCGACGCCGCGUGGAGGAAGAAGGUUUUCGGAUUGUAAACUCCUGUCGUUAGGGACGAUAAUGACGGUACCUAACAAGAAAGCACCGGCUAACUACGUGCCAGCAGCCGCGGUAAAACGUAGGGUGCAAGCGUUGUCCGGAAUUACUGGGUGUAAAGGGAGCGCAGGCGGACCGGCAAGUUGGAAGUGAAAUCCAUGGGCUCAACCCAUGAACUGCUUUCAAAAUUGAUUGUCUUGAGUAGUGCAGAGGUAGGCGGAAUUCCCGGUGUAGCGGUGGAAUGCGUAGAUAUCGGGAGGAACACCAGUGGCGAAGGCGGCCUACUGGGCACCAACUGACGCUGAGGCUCGAAAGUGUGGGUAGCAAACAGGAUUAGAUACCCUGGUAGUCCACACCGUAAACGAUGAUUACUAGGUGUUGGAGGAUUGACCCCUUCAGUGCCGCAGUUAACACAAUAAGUAAUCCACCUGGGGAGUACGACCGCAAGGUUGAAACUCAAAGGAAUUGACGGGGGCCCGCACAAGCAGUGGAGUAUGUGGUUUAAUUCGACGCAACGCGAAGAACCUUACCAAGUCUUGACAUCCUGCGACGGUGCUAGAAAUAGUAUUUUCCUUCGGGACGCAGAGACAGGUGGUGCAUGGUUGUCGUCAGCUCGUGUCGUGAGAUGUUGGGUUAAGUCCCGCAACGAGCGCAACCCUUAUGGUCAGUUACUACGCAAGAGGACUCUGGCCAGACUGCCGUUGACAAAACGGAGGAAGGUGGGGAUGACGUCAAAUCAUCAUGCCCUUUAUGACUUGGGCUACACACGUACUACAAUGGCGUUAAACAAAGAGAAGCAAGACCGCGAGGUGGAGCAAAACUCAGAAACAACGUCCCAGUUCGGACUGCAGGCUGCAACUCGCCUGCACGAAGUCGGAAUUGCUAGUAAUCGCAGAUCAGCAUGCUGCGGUGAAUACGUUCCCG
RNAcentral lists this ribosomal RNA (995 nucleotides) under uncultured bacterium. RNAcentral describes it as "bacterial SSU rRNA". It matches the Rfam family "Bacterial small subunit ribosomal RNA", at positions 356 to 1376 of the family's 1533-position model. The record is from RNAcentral.